RNAcentral lists this ribosomal RNA (388 nucleotides) under uncultured bacterium. RNAcentral describes it as "bacterial SSU rRNA". It matches the Rfam family "Bacterial small subunit ribosomal RNA", at positions 30 to 420 of the family's 1533-position model. The record is from RNAcentral.
AUUGAACGCUGGCGGCAUGCCUUACACAUGCAAGUCGAACGGCAGCGGACCUUCGGGUGCCGGCGAGUGGCGAACGGGUGAGUAAUAUAUCGGAACGUACCUUUCAGUGGGGGAUAACGUAGCGAAAGUUACGCUAAUACCGCAUAUUCUGUGAGCAGGAAAGCAGGGGAUCGCAAGACCUUGCGCUGAUUGAGCGGCCGAUAUCAGAUUAGCUAGUUGGUGAGGUAAAGGCUCACCAAGGCGACGAUCUGUAGCGGGUCUGAGAGGAUGAUCCACCACACUGGAACUGAGACACGGUCCAGACUCCUACGGGAGGCAGCAGUGGGGAAUUUUGGACAAUGGGCGCAAGCCUGAUCCAGCCAUGCCGCGUGAGUGAAGAAGGCCUCGG